CGUAGGAUCCAAGCGUUAUCCGGAAUUGCUGGGCGUAAAGCGUCUGUAGGUGGCGCGUCAGGUGAGAUGCGAAAUCUUGUGGCUCAACCACAUAGACUGUGUCUCAAACCAACGUGCUAGAGGUCGGUAGAGGCAAGUGGAAUUCUCGGUGUAGCAGUGACAUGCGUAGAUAUCGAGAGGAACACCAAUGGCGAAGGCAGCUUGCUGGGCCGCACCUGACACUCAGAGACGAAAGCGUGGGGAGCGAACGGGAUUAGAUACCCCGGUAGUCCACGCCGUAAACGAUGGUCACUAUGAGUAUGGAGAUUCGACCCUCUGUGCUCAGUAGCUAACGCGUUAAGUGACCCGCCUGGGGAGUACGAACGCAAGUUUA
Molecule: ribosomal RNA, 373 nt
Filed under: uncultured organism
Description: bacterial SSU rRNA
Rfam family: Bacterial small subunit ribosomal RNA
Source: RNAcentral